GUGUGUGCUCCUUGUCUGACUUGAUAUGAGAACUAACCCAAUAUGGCAGGAAGCCACUGACAUGUGGGAGCCGUGCAUGGCAGUGGCCAGCGUCCUUGUCCUGCGGGGGCUCUGUGGACAUCACUCGCCUUCAGAACACUGAGCCCUCCUACCUCCUGAUAUCCAGGGCUGCCGAUGGGAAAUCCCAGGCUGCCGCGGCUCCUGUGUGCUUUGAAGCCACUGCCAGGAAGAUCUGAAAGAGAGUAAACCGGGACCACGUGGUUCUGCUUGGGUCGGUGCCAGCGGCCUGGUUUCUGAAGGCUUCUGAACAUCAGCAUCUCUCUCCAGAUCCACGGCUGCUACGUG
Homo sapiens (human) is the source of this 345-nucleotide long non-coding RNA. Ensembl annotates it as TSPEAR antisense RNA 2. Its record names the gene TSPEAR-AS2. NCBI's taxonomy places the organism in Eukaryota, Metazoa, Chordata, Mammalia, Primates, Hominidae. The record is from Ensembl.